UACGGGGGGGGUAAGCGUUGUUCGGAAUUACUGGGCGUAAAGGGCUCGUAGGCGGCCAACUAAGUCAUACGUGAAAUCCCUCAGCUUAACUGGGGAACUGCGUGUGAUACUGGAUGGCUUGGAUUUGGGAGAGGGAUGCGGAAUUCCGGGUGUAGCGGUGGAAUGCGUAGAGAUCCGGAAGAACACCGGUGGCGAAGGCGGCCUGCUGGGACGUGGCUGACGCUGAGGCGCGACAGCGUGGGGAGCAAACAGG
This 253-nucleotide ribosomal RNA is filed under the name uncultured bacterium. Its description in RNAcentral is "partial 16S ribosomal RNA". It matches the Rfam family "Bacterial small subunit ribosomal RNA", at positions 524 to 776 of the family's 1533-position model. The record is from RNAcentral.